UCUCUGGGCCGUUACUGACGCUGAGGAGCGAAAGCGUGGGGAGCGAACAGGAUUAGAUACCCUGGUAGUCCACGCCGUAAACGGUGGAUGCUGGAUGUGGGGCCCGUUCCACGGGUUCCGUGUCGGAGCUAACGCGUUAAGCAUCCCGCCUGGGGAGUACGGCCGCAAGGCUAAAACUCAAAGAAAUUGACGGGGGCCCGCACAAGCGGCGGAGCAUGCGGAUUAAUUCGAUGCAACGCGAAGAACCUUACCUGGGCUUGACAUGUUCCCGACGGUCGUAGAGAUACGGCUUCCCUUCGGGGCGGGUUCACAGGUGGUGCAUGGUCGUCGUCAGCUCGUGUCGUGAGAUGUUGGGUUAAGUCCCGCAACGAGCGCAACCCUCGCCCCGUGUUGCCAGCGGAUUAUGCCGGGAACUCACGGGGGACCGCCGGGGUUAACUCGGAGGAAGGUGGGGAUGACGUCAGAUCAUCAUGCCCCUUACGUCCAGGGCUUCACGCAUGCUACAAUGGCCGGUACAACGGGAUGCGACGCGGCGACGCGGAGCGGAUCCCUGAAAACCGGUCUCAGUUCGGAUCGGAGCCUGCAACCCGGCUCCGUGAAGGCGGAGUCGCUAGUAAUCGCGAAUCAGCAACGUCGCGGUGAAUGCGUUCCCGGGCCUUGUACACACCGCCCGUCAAGUCAUGAAAGUGGGCAGCACCCGAAGCCGGUGGCCUAACCCCUUGUGGGAUGGAGCCGUCUAAGGUGAGGCUCGUGAUUGGGACUAAGUCGUAACAAGGUAGCCGUACCGGAAGGUGCGGCUGGAUCACCUCCUUUCUACGGAG
RNAcentral lists this ribosomal RNA (821 nucleotides) under Escherichia coli. RNAcentral describes it as "bacterial SSU rRNA". It matches the Rfam family "Bacterial small subunit ribosomal RNA", at positions 726 to 1533 of the family's 1533-position model. The record is from RNAcentral. Lineage: Bacteria; Pseudomonadati; Pseudomonadota; Gammaproteobacteria; Enterobacterales; Enterobacteriaceae.